This 10886-nucleotide long non-coding RNA is filed under the name Fragaria vesca (wild strawberry). RNAcentral describes it as "long non-coding RNA (FVES_LNC000818)". The record is from RNAcentral. Lineage: Eukaryota; Viridiplantae; Streptophyta; Magnoliopsida; Rosales; Rosaceae.
ACUGCUUCCUACUGUCAUAUUUGUAAAUGAACCUGUGAAAACAGUGGAAACCAAAACUUUUUCAUUUAAGGUGAGAAAUCCAUGAAUGGACAUAGACAGAGAGGCAUAUAUUUGAAGGAGGGAAACAACCCACAGCAGCAUAUAUGGAAUUGAUAGAAAUGACAACAGAAUUCAAUGGUCAAAAAGAUUACAAAUUUGUCUGUGUGGAAAAAAGAUUUCAAAGCAAUUGGUACCUCUUAUUAAUAAAGUUUUAACAAAGGAAAAGCAAGUAUCAUAUCACUAGCAUCAAUUUUCUUCAACCCUCUUCGAGAUUAGUCAACAAUUAUGAUUACCAAUAGCUGGUUGUGUACAGGUUGGAAUAGCUGAAAAACAUAUUCCAUCGGUUAAUCAAAUAGAGAUUGAUAUAAUCCCCCCAAUUUUUUUUUUUUUUUUUUUUAACAUAGAGAUCAAUAUAGUAUAUGAUACAGAAGGUGAAACCAUGUGAAUGUGAUCAAGGUAGGUAAAUAAAGUUCAAAGUUUAAACAAGUAGAUGUGUUUAACUAAGAACCAUAGAGAGAGAAAAUUUCAUUAUAUAUCUAGGUGCAUUGCGUAGAUAUAUGAUUUGAAUUGAGCUGUCCUAGCCCAAAGCCACAAAUCAUAUACAUAGUACACAUGUCCCAGGUACAACAUUAAACUUCCUUGUCUAUUAUACGGCUAAAAUCUACUCCAACAAUUUCACAAUAUCUAGCAGAAUCAAUAUUGUUCUAAGAUGAAUCCACUGAAAGGGACAAAAUGAAGAAAUUCAACCUAUAGUACAUUAGUACUGCAAAACCAUAGAUAGCAAGCUUAUUAAAUUUUCACCAUACCCUUUGUAACUUCCCUCAUACUUAUCAAUCCAACCUGCAAGGCUCAAAGAUACUUAUUCCUCAGCAUUCAAAUUUCUAACUGCUGGAUUUUAUGAUACUCAAUUAUGCAGUGACCUUUCUAUAUUAUAACUGUACCCAACUGUUCAGGACAAUUGGUAGCUUAUUAACUGAUCACAUAACUUACUUGCUAAACAAGUUAAGCUGCCCUUGAUUAGUACCCUGAAAUUGUUGUUUAUCAGAAUUGAAAUUGGAGUAUAAACUUACAGAGAUAGAAUCCAAGAGAAGACUGGAGAGAUCCCCAAGUUGUAGCUUUUGGAUAGAUUUGUUAUUCAUCAUCCAAAGUCCAAAGCACAUAUAACCAAGAAAUUGGUCCCAAAAUCCUAUAGCUGGAGAAAGAGUUGAUAUGAAUGGUAUCAAACUGCAUCUUAAGCAGGUUUUACAGCUCAAUGAGAUGAUGACCCAUCUCAGGUGCUGUGAUUAUCCAUCCAAUAAAACACAUUGGAUACACUGAAGGAAAGAAAGGAACCCCUUAAUGUUAAAACUAGCUUUGCCCAAAUAAUUGACAUGGGAUAAAAAUAGUCAAAAACUCACUCUCAUUGCUCCCUAUACAGGACUCCUGUUUCUCCCAAGGAGACCUACAAAAGAGAAAAAAUUAAACCCACACCCUCGUUUCUUAUUUGGACCACACUAUUCCCUCUCUGUCAAUUUGCAACUCAUGUGACCCUGCCUUAGUCCUAUGCUUUUGGAUGAAAGAUGUAUACUUGGCUCUAAUGCAGCUCUGGGAUUGAGGCUUUCAAACUUAGUUGUCUUUAUUUUCUAUCUAUCAAAUUUAAGACAGCAGAUGAAUGCCAUCCUUAUCUUCAUCUUGGCCCCAACUGUUACAGAGCCUCCCAGGCUUUUGAAAUAUACCUAUCAAAUUUCAUAAAUGUCACUAAUGAACCACACAUGCACUACAUCAACAUUACUGUAAUUUUCCCUCCUUUAGCCAUCUGGGUUCUUCAUUAAUUUAUAAUUUUGUUGGAGCUUGCAAUAGAAAUAUAUCAAAGUUGCACCAGUAUCCAAAUUCCAAAGACAGUACAAUUUUUUUUUUCCUUUUUUUUUUUUGAAAAAAAAUUAGUUUUUCCAUUUUAUCUUUGAAGCUAGAAUUGAGACAUGCAAAUCAAUUGGCCAGUUUACAGGGAUCCUGUGUGUUAUAGUCAGACCAUUCGUAUAGGAAGCAGAUAGGUACAAUGCUGGGUUCACAGGGACCCAAGAAAUUAAUGGUUGCAAUUGUCACUGUCAUAAAAUAUCAACACAAUCACUUACCUUAUGGCAUGUUUGAUUGAAUUUGUUUUGCCCCUUGGCUUUUUCUCUUCUGGAGUUACUGAAAACCCUGCAUGGAGUCAUGGACUUUUUUCUUGCUCACUAAACAAGCUUUUUGCUCUCAUUCAUAUCCAUGAUCUGCUUUCUGCUGCAGAUUCAUUUAACUUUUUGUUACCAGUUUGUUCUGAUUUUCCUUUUUACAUCAUAUUCCUUUUCUUCUCCAAAUUUAAUCCAUGAGCUGUAACCAGAAAGCUCUUGGGAAUUCAUAUCACAAGCCUAAAUUGAUGUAAUAGUCCUUCCUGACCAUGAAUAGAAAUAAUACUGGGCCUAAUCUGUUUUUCUUAUUUGGGUCUAACCAUGAAAGUCCAGUGGACCUCCAGCUUUUAAGAAGGCAAUAGGCCAACAAAACUGUGCACCAUUCAAGUUCAAUAGCAUUGCAGCAUAUUAAAUUCAGUUUUCUCAAGCAACAGAUACAUGCAUAAACCAAUGGAAAAACAUAACAAACCCAGUGAAGCUGAAGCCGUCUUCACCACCAGUCAUCAACCAACGUCACAAUUCUGCCAACGCUUUCCUGAACUGAGUGCAUAUGCGGCCUACUCAGGAGGAUAGACUUGAGUGACUGGCAUCCAAGCACCAUGUGCUCGAUAUCAGACCAACAAAAUUCACACCGUCGAAUUACAAGAGACUCUAGACACCUGUGACCAGAAAAUGCACGUACUCCGGCGCCAGUUACAUUAGAGCAACCAGUUAAAUCAAGAAUCUCUAAGUUGGGGCAAUUCCCAGCAACAUACACCAUGCUUUGGUCCGACACAUUCGUCAACCUGCCCAAGUUCAAUUUCUUGAGGGAUCGAUUUGAAGAGGUUGCAGCAAUAACUCCAGUAUCAGUGACAUCGCACCUAUCCAAAUCCCGCUCUAACAGGAAUUGGAAAUUUUGCAAAUGCGAGAGCCCCAAGUCAGUUAUACCAUAGCAGGCAGCCAGCACCAAUGUGUUGAGGGUCUUUGAGCACCUUCCAUGUGCUAAAAAUCUCAAACCAUAGUCGGUAACCUUGGAAUCUUCUAGAUUCAAAUAUCUUAAACAAGUGCAAUGUAGCCCAAUUGCUUCUAACGCAUUGUCAUCGACAUCACUGCACCUUCCCAAAUCUAAAUCAGUCAAAUUAGGAAACCUAUGUAUCCAUCUGUCAAUGGAUGCACGCCAUCUCCCUCUGACCGAAACCUUGGACAGUUUCGGAAGGCCGCCGCCACUUGACAGACCGUAAAGACCGUUCUCCGGUAAAAACCUUGAUAAUAAUUUUACGGCGUUGAGAACGAUGGCCUCCAUUUUGGGACAUGUUUGGGCUAUGAAUUCGAGGUCGGCUUCCUCAGAGAUAGACUCGGAUGUGCGGAAUGUAACUAGAUUCGGGAAUCGGGGUAGCAUCUGUCGGAGAAGACUGAGUUUGAAAAGACGGAGUGAUCUUGUGGUUAGACCCUCCAGUGUGAACCAUAGUUUGCAGACUUCGGAGACCCGCUUCCGAUCAUCCGGCUGGCUGACCCGUUUGAGGAUGUGACCUAAUAGAUCGUCAUUCAGAUCAGAAAUCUCCACCAUCUUUGGUUUUCUGGUUUCUAGGGUUUUGAGCAACGUAGGGUUUAGGGAUUUAUAAGAAAUUUUGGGGGACAUUGAAUCGUGGUAAUAGUCGGGUUUCCUCGGCCCAAAACAUAUCUCUUCGGGCUCGUUUUAAUGGGUCUGAAUACCAAAGGCCCAACACAGAACCAUUGGUUUAUUGGGGUUCUGUUAUAACAAAGGCCCUGUUAUAACUGGCUGAAAUUUCAUGCUCUAAAAGGAGUAAAAUCCAAGUGUGUACUUGCCAUUUUCAUUUUCAAUUUCGUUUUGAUUUUGUUGCUGUCAACAACAGUCAAUUGAUCCAUGGGGAAUGCUUUGCUGGUUCAGGCUGCUCUUCUGGAUAAGAUAAGUAGAAAUCUUAGUAAUAUUGGAGGGUUGCUCUGGCUUUUCAUACAUUGUCCUAUUAUGCUUGAAUAUGACGCUUUGGCAAUCAGCCAGUCAUCCAAAGAGUAUCUGAUGCCGGGGAAAGACCUGAACCCGGUGAUCAUCAAAUUGAAGUUAAGAAAUAGAAGCCUAAUAGCUAGGGCAUAUGUUAGCAGUCGAAGACAAGCGAGAAAAAUAAAGUGAUACAGGUCUCUCUGUCUAGAGAUACUACUGAUACAUCCAUACUUAUUAGUUCUACUGUAUAUGUAGCUGUAAGUUGCAAAUUCAUUGACCAAACAUGAAACAUGAACACAACAAAAACCCAAACAGACUCGCUCAUUUAUUUUUAAAACACCGUUCACCUUCUUUGACAUGAAAAUUGAAGAAAAAACCAAGCAUCAAAUUUAAGUUCUGCACAAACACCUAUAAAUUACAUAUCUACCUUCUACCACACAAGGGUCCAAAUGCAGGUCUAAUACAACUUCAACUUGUUACAACCUUUCCCAGGCACCAUAAUUUUCUUCCACCUUUGGCAUAGAGCCACCUACGAGGUAAAACAAGAUAUAUCAAGCACCCGCGGUGGCCGGAAAGUGCACAAGUAAAAGCGCUAUGCUUUUGUCAAAGACAUAAACACUCAACUCAAGUUCAAUUUCUUGAGGGAUAGCACUGCAGCAUGUUAGAUUCUUUUUACAAAGCAACACAGAGAUUAGACCGAAAAAAAGCAACACAGAGAUACAUAAACCAACGGAAUAACAUAACAAACCAGGUGAAGUUGAAGCCUUCUUCACCCCUCAUCAAUCAACGACACAAUUCUGCUAACGCUUUCCGGAACUGAGUGCAUAGGCGGCAUACUCAGGACGAUAGACUUGAGUGACUUGCAUCCAAGCACCAUGUGCUCGAUAUCGGACCAACAAAAUUCAGGACACCACCGCAAAACAAGAGACUGUAGACACCUGUGACCAUAAAAUGCACGAACUCCGGCGCCAGUUACCUGAGAACUACUUAAAUCAAGAAUCUCUAAGUUGGGGCAAUUCUCAGCAACAAAGGCCAUGCUUUGGUCCGACAAAUACUUGUUAGCCAAGUUCAACUUCUUGAAUGAUCGAUCUGGAGAGAUUGCAGAUAUAACUCCAGUAUCAGUGACAUAACAGCCUUUCAAAUUCAGCUCUUCCAAGAAUCGGAAAUUCUGCAAAUGCGAGAGCCCCAAGUCAGUAAUACCCUUGCAGUCAGCCAGCACCAACGUGUUGAGGGUCUUUGUGCACCUUCCCUGUGCUAAAAAUCCCAAACCAUUGUCCGACACACCGCCGCAAAGUUCUAAAUUCAAAUAUAUCAAAUUGCCCACAAGCCCAAUUGCUUCUAACGCAUAGUCAUCGACAUCACUGCAGCCUCCCAAAUCCAAAUAAGUCAGAUUAUAUAACCUAUGUACCCAUCUGGCGGUGGCUACACGCCAUCUCCCUCUGACCGAAACCUUGGACAGUUUCCGAAGAACGCCGCCACGUAACAAACCGUAAAGACCGUUCUCCGGUAACAUCCCUGCCCCGUGUGCGGUGCUGAGAUCGAUGGUCUCAAGUUUUGGACAUGUUUGGGCUACGAAUACGAGGUCGGCUUCCUCGAAAUAAGGCCCGGAUGUCUGGAAUGAAACUAGAUUAGGGAAUCGAGGCAGUACCUUUCGGAGACGACUGAGUCGGAGUAAAGUGAGUGACCUUCUUGUUAGACCCUCGACUGUCAACCAUAGUUUGCAAACUUCGGAGACCCGUUUCCGAUCACCCGGAUCGCUGACCCGUUUGAGGAUGUGACCUAAUAGAUCGUCAUUCAGUUCAGAAAUCGCCACCAUCUUCCCUAAUCGAUUUUCUAACUCCUGGGGGCAAAAGAGGGUUUAUAAAAAAUUUAAAGGAAUUCGCCUAGGAAGUGGGCUAGGCUGAUGGAUGGGCUCGCUAGACGGUAUAUACCUCCCUCAGGCCCAAAACAUCUGUCGCCUAGGCCCGUUAGGCGAUUUUUAAGAAAACCUUUAUACGACGUCGUUGCCUUACCUCUCUCGCUCAGGUUCAUGAAUUACUGGACUUGGAUUCUUUAGGUCUUGGCGAUUUCUCUUUGUUGUUGGGGAUUUUGGGCUAAAAAGAUUGAGAAUUUGACGGUGAAUUGCUGCUGGGAAUCUGGGAUUCACUACUAAAUAGAACAAACUACAAACCCAAUGUUCUUGUUCGGCGUCUCACACACUAGUGCAUUUCUCAAGUGUAUAACCCAAGUGAUAUAUUCAAAGUUAGACUAUCAGGAUCAGAUCAUUCAGAUGCGAGCAAGCAUUGCUAGGAGAAGAGAUUUUUCUUGGAAGACAUUAAGAAAUGUGCUCUACUUCUCAUGUCAAAAUCAAGAAGAGAGCAAAAGAACAGAUACUUAGCAAAGUUCAAGACAGCUUGCUUAAGGAAUGGUUCUGUUGUUAUUGAUGGUGAGGCAGCGGCUUUCUUACCUACAUUUGCAGUGGAAGAAGAGAAUACUUUGGGAUGACUGAAACUGGUUGUAGGUCUCUCUGUUACCUGAGGUGGAUUGAAUUAUGACACACUGGAAAUGAGAUUGAAGAAGUCUAGACAUACUACUGAUACUCGGCUCUACUGAUAGAUCACUUAUUAGUUCUAUAUGUUAAUAUGUAGCUGUACGUUGCAAAUUCAUUGACCAAACAUUAACACAACAAAACCCAAUCAGACUCACUCAUGACGACAAUUCACGUUUGACAUGAAAAUGAAGAGAGAGAAAAACCAGGCAUCAAAUUUAAGUUUUUCACAAACACUCAAAAUAAUACACAUCUACCUUCUACCUCACAAUGGUAGAAAUGCAGGUAUUGUAAUUCAACUUUAACUUGUCACAACCUUUUCCACGCACUAUCAAUGUCUUCCACCUUCUGCAUGGAGCCUACCUACGAGGAAAAAUAAGAGAUUGCAAGCACCUACUGCCGGAAAUUGCACAAGCGGCAACGUUAGUAACAUUAUAUGCAGUAAAAUUCAGCAUCUGUCAGAGCAAUAAGCUUCUGUCAAAGACAUAAGACACAACCCAACUCAAGUUCAAUUUCUUAAGGGAUAGCAUUGCAGCAUAUUAAAUCCAGUUUUCUCAAGCAACUCAUACAUAAACCAAAUAAUCCAGCAUCUUUAAUCUGAACUAAACACUUUCCAGUCAUCAUACAACGUCACAAUUCUGCUAAGGCUUUCCGGAGCAAAUGAGCACGUAAACUGCCAACUUAGUUCGAUAGACUUGAGUGACUUGCAUUCAAGCAACAAGUGCUCCACAUCUUCCCAAUAAUAAACAAACCACCUGCGCAAAACAAGAGACUCUAGGAACCUGUGACUGGAAAGUGCACAAAUUCCGGCACCAGUUACACGACAACAACUUAAAUCAAGAAACUCUAAGUUGGGGCAAUUCUCAACAACAAAAAACAGGCUUUGGUCUGACACAUUCUUCAACCUGCCCAAGUUCAACUUCUUGAGGGAUCGAUCGAGGAUUACCAGAAAUUGCAGAUAUAACUCCACUAUCAGUGACAAGCCUUCCGUACCCGCAGCUUUCCAAAACCAGCUCUUCCAAGCAUUGCAUAUUCUGCAAAUGUGAGACCCCGGAAUCAGUUAUACCCUUGCAGUAAGCCAGCACCAAUGUGUUGAGGGUUUUUGAACACCUUCCAUGUGCCAACAAUCUCAAACCAGUGUCCGAAAUCUCGGACUUUUCCAAAUUCAAAUAUCACAAGUGCACACAAGCGCAAUUGCUUCUAACGCAUCGUCAUCGAUCUCAACCGCAUAGUCAUCAUCGACCUGACCGCACUCUCCCAAAUCCAAAUAUGUCAAAUUAGGAAACCUAUGUAUCCAUCUGUCGGUGGCUACACACCAUCUCCCUCUGACCGAAACCUUGGACAGUUUCGGAAGGCCGCCACCACUUGACAGACCGUAAAGACCGUUCUCCGGUAAAAACAUUGAUUCGAAUUGUUCGGCGCUGAGAUCGAUGGCCUCCAGUUUGGGACAUGUUUGGGCUAUGAACUCGAGGUCGGCUUCCUCCUCGAUAAGUUGUAACUAGAUUCGCGAAUCGAGGCAGUACCUGACGGAGACGACUGAAUUCGUAUAAAGUGAGUGACCUUCUUGUUGGACCCUCCAGUGUGAACCAUUGUUUGCAGACUUGGAGAACCUGUUUCCGAUCACCGGGCUCGCUUACCCUUUCCAGGAUCUGACCUAAUAGAUCGUCAUGCAAUUCAGAAAUCUCCACCAUCUUUGAUUUUCUGGUUUCUAGGGUUUUUGAGCAAAACAGGGUUUAGGAAUUUUAUUAUAUCUUUUUAAAGGAAACCGCCUUGGUCAUUGCCUUCUAUAUUGGAGACGAGAUAGUUGGUACAAGCCGGUAAAGAACAGAUACUUAGCAAAGUUCAAGACAGCUUGCCUUAAGAAUGGUUCUGUUGUUAUUGAACCUACAGUCGUGGAAGAAGAGAAUACUUUGUAAUAACAGAAGCUUGUUGUAGGCUUAAAAAUUAACCUGCAAGGCAAAGUCUCGAUCAAACCGUAUUUGCUUCAGAGAAUUUAAAAGCCUUUAGAUUGUUGCUUAAAGAGAAAAUCAUGAGUUUGUAUGUAAAAUACUAGUAAAUAAAACCCGCCUAACGGUGCUUUAGACACCACCCGUGCGUUGUUGCGGACUAUGAUUUCUUGAUGAUGAACAAUAUUCAAUCCCAAUCUCACGCCUCCCAUGCCACCACCUUUUCUCUACCGCCGAUUCCCCCGCCUUCCCCUAUUUUUCCACAAACACAUCCAUUUUUCCCAAAUCCACCACCAACAUCAUGGUCUCCAUGCUUGCAAAAUCCACCACUCACCUCCAAUUCUACCACCUCCUAUUCCGCCACCUGCACAAAAUUCACCAUCAAUCUCAUAGCCUCUACCAUCAUUUUUUAAUUCCACCACUGUACCAUGGUCUUCCCCUUGCCAAAACCCACCAUGGACAUCUCUAACCCCAUGCCCACAACCAAGUAAAAAAUAGAAAAUAAAGAAGUAACAAAAUUUUCAAUGACACAAACGUCUUUUUGAUCAUAAUAAUUGAACAUUUGUAAAUAAAUUUGCAUUAAAAGGUAACACAGUGUUUUUGUUCAAUAUAAUGACAGAUUCUUAAAUAAAUUGCAUUAAAGGGCAAAAACAACUAUUCACCAGCUAGGGGCAAAAACACAACUCACCCGAAUUUUGGGGGAAAAACACAAUUCAACAAAGAUAUGAACAGUGUUUUUUCCCUUGUUGUUUUAUUUUAUAGAAUGUGUUCACUGUUCGUAACUAUGUGUGAUGCUGCUACAAACGCAAAAGUGCAUGUUAACAUCACUAAUGAUUUGUCUCCAAUCCGGCAUGGAAUUCGCACAUGUCUCGAUUUACAAUGUAAAACGCAGAAACACGACUUUGGUGGUUCGGUGAUCCCCUAUAGAUCGUCCUCUGAAUUCGUUUUUUCACCAUAUAUUAUUAGGAGGAACACCAUAUUGCAGUGCGAUUAGCUUUCACAGUUUCACUCAUACAACCAAAAGAGCAAAACAACAGAACAAUAUAAGAACAGAACAGAACUUGAACCAGGUGACAGAUUCUACUAAACCAAAGUAUUGCAAUCCUAUAGCAGUCUGUUGUUUGCGGAUAAGUUACAGAAGAAAGCGAAGAUCAUUCUUACUCAGUUACCAUUACAGAAUGCUUAUCGUUGUGAUUAUAGUCAUUUCUUGAUGAGGGCAGAGUGUACUUUCCCUUUGUUUUUAAAGUGUUGAAAUCUACAACUAGAUCGAUAAAGUUGCUAUUGAUUUUCAUGAUAGAGAUCCUUAGAGCAAUAUAACAACAGAACAGAACUUGAACCGGGUGAACAGCAUAAGAAUUCAACUAAACCAAAGUAGUGCAAUCCUAUAGCAGUCUAUUACUUACUAAACCAAAACAGUAUUAGAACAGAACCAAAGGUUCUCCAAAUUUGGGCCAUCAUGAAAAGAACCUCACAAUACCAGUGACUUUAUAAGAGCAUGUUGAAUUUAGUUUUUACAACCAAUACAUAUUGCGCAAUAUGGGUGACCCAAUCAAAAAUUGCUAAACAAAUGAAAACAUAACAAACCUGGUGAAGUUGAAGCCAUCAAUGGUGAAAAGUUUUUAUCCUGGUAUAUUUAUUUAUGUUAAUCAAUACAAGGGUAAAAUAGUGAUUAAAAUUGUUCAGAAAAAAUUAAAGAGGUGCAAAUAACAAAUGAGGAGGUGCAACUAGAAUCACCCAAAUAUAAAUUUCAUAUCUACCUUCUACCACACAAUAGUCCAAACGCAGGUAUUCUAAUUCAAUUUCAACUUGUUACAACCUUUCCCAGACACCAUAAAUGUCUUCCACCCUUGGCAUAGAAAAUGCACAAAUAACAGCACUUCUUAUAUUACAAUUAGUAAAAUUCAGCAUGUCUAAGCUGUGGUAAUUCUCAGCCAGAACAACAAUGCUUCUGUCAAAGACAUAAGACACCCAACUCAAGUUCACUUUCCUCAAGUUCACUUUCUUGAGGGAUAGCAUUGCAGCAUAUUAAAUUCAGUUUUUCAAAGCAACAUAAACCGAUGGAAAAACAUAAGAACAAACCUGCUGAAGUUGAAGCUUCACCACUCAUGAAUCAACGUCACAAUUCUGCUAAUGCUUUCCGGAACUGAGUCAUUCAUAGGCGGCGUACUCAGGACCAUAGACUUGAGUGACUUGCAUCCAAGCACCAUGUGCCCGAUAUCAGACCAAUAAAAUUCACCACAAUCUCGCAAAACAAGAGACUCUAGACACCUGUGACCAGAAAAUGCACGUAC